GUAGGGGGCAAGCGUUGUCCGGAUUUAUUGGGCGUAAAGAGCGUGUAGGCGGCCAGACAGGUCCGUUGUGAAAACUAGAGGCUUAACCUCUAGACGUCGAUGGAAACCGUCUGGCUAGAGUCCGGAAGAGGAGAAUGGAAUUCCUGGUGUAGCGGUGAAAUGCGCAGAUAUCAGGAAGAACACCCGUGGCUAAGGCGGUUCUCUAGUACGGUACUGACGCUGAGACGCGAAAGCGUGGGGAGCGAACAGGAUUAGAUACCCUGGUAGUCCACGCCGUAAACGAUGGGUGCUAGGUGUGGGGGGUGUCGACUCCCCCCGUGCCGAAGCUAACGCAUUAAGCACCCCGCCUGGGGAGUACGGCCGCAAGGCUA
Molecule: ribosomal RNA, 371 nt
Filed under: uncultured bacterium
Lineage: Bacteria
Description: bacterial SSU rRNA
Rfam family: Bacterial small subunit ribosomal RNA
Source: RNAcentral